This 235-nucleotide ribosomal RNA is filed under the name uncultured bacterium. RNAcentral describes it as "partial 16S ribosomal RNA". It matches the Rfam family "Bacterial small subunit ribosomal RNA", at positions 96 to 334 of the family's 1533-position model. The record is from RNAcentral.
UGGCGGACGGGUGAGUAAUGUCUGGGAAACUGCCUGAUGGAGGGGGAUAACUACUGGAAACGGUAGCUAAUACCGCAUAACGUCGCAAGACCAAAGAGGGGGACCUUAGGGCCUCUUGCCAUCGGAUGUGCCCAGAUGGGAUUAGCUAGUAGGUGGGGUAAAGGCUCACCUAGGCGACGAUCCCUAGCUGGUCUGAGAGGAUGACCAACCACACUGGAACUGAGACACGGUCCAG